Molecule: ribosomal RNA, 425 nt
Filed under: uncultured bacterium
Lineage: Bacteria
Description: partial 16S ribosomal RNA
Rfam family: Bacterial small subunit ribosomal RNA
Source: RNAcentral
GUUAGGAAUAUUGGACAAUGGGCGAAAGCCUGAUCCAGCCAUGCCGCGUGAACGAUGAAGGCCUUCGGGUUGUAAAGUUCUUUAGCCGAUGAUUAUAAUGACUGUAGUCGGAAAAUAAGCCCCGGCUAACUUCGUGCCAGCAGCCGCGGUAAUACGAAGGGGGCGAGCGUUAUUCGGAAUCACUGGGCGUAAAGCGUGCGUAGGCGGUUUUGUAAGUUAGGAGUGAAAGCACAGGGCUCAACCUUGGAAUUGCUCUUAAAACUGCAAAGCUCGAAUCUCGGAGAGGAUAGCGGAAUUUCCAGUGUAGCAGUGAAAUGCGUAGAUAUUGGAAGGAACACCAGUGGCGUAAGCGGCUAUCUGGACGAGUAUUGACGCUGAGGCACGAAAGCGUGGGGAUCAAACAGGAUUAGAUACCCCGGUAGUCC